GCCUUCGUGGUGUAAUGGCCAGUGUACUCGGCUCGUAUUCGAGAGGUCCAAGGUUCGAGUCCCGGCGAGGGCA
Molecule: transfer RNA, 73 nt
Filed under: Stegodyphus mimosarum
Lineage: Eukaryota; Metazoa; Arthropoda; Arachnida; Araneae; Eresidae
Rfam family: tRNA
About the family: Transfer RNA (tRNA) molecules are approximately 80 nucleotides in length. Their secondary structure includes four short double-helical elements and three loops (D, anti-codon, and T loops). Further hydrogen bonds mediate the characteristic L-shaped molecular structure. tRNAs have two regions of fundamental functional importance: the anti-codon, which is responsible for specific mRNA codon recognition, and the 3' end, to which the tRNAs corresponding amino acid is attached (by aminoacyl-tRNA synthetases). tRNAs cope with the degeneracy of the genetic code in two manners: having more than one tRNA (with a specific anti-codon) for a particular amino acid; and 'wobble' base-pairing, i.e. permitting non-standard base-pairing at the 3rd anti-codon position.
Source: Rfam by way of RNAcentral